RNAcentral lists this non-coding RNA (48 nucleotides) under Schistosoma mansoni. The record is from RNAcentral. Lineage: Eukaryota; Metazoa; Platyhelminthes; Trematoda; Strigeidida; Schistosomatidae.
AUCCGGAUGACCAGUCCCGAAUAGGACGAAACGCGCGUCAAAUUGGAU